CUUGUGUAAGAAACGCCAUCGCUGUAAAUUCCAGCUGCGGUCCCAAAGCGUUUGGGGGGCUCGGGAUCUACACGUCGGCGCGCAAUUCCCUCCUCUUGGGGUUGCGCAUCCAGUAGGCGCAGGACACCCUGAGA
RNAcentral lists this long non-coding RNA (134 nucleotides) under Prolemur simus (greater bamboo lemur). Its description in RNAcentral is "WT1 antisense RNA conserved region 4 (ENSPSMG00000015419.1)". It matches the Rfam family "WT1 antisense RNA conserved region 4". The record is from RNAcentral. Lineage: Eukaryota; Metazoa; Chordata; Mammalia; Primates; Lemuridae.